This 620-nucleotide long non-coding RNA is filed under the name Salvia miltiorrhiza (redroot sage). RNAcentral's name for it is "long non-coding RNA (SMIL_LNC007187)". Lineage: Eukaryota; Viridiplantae; Streptophyta; Magnoliopsida; Lamiales; Lamiaceae. The record is from RNAcentral.
UGUCUUUGUAUAUCUUCUUUGAUCAUAAAUCUACAACAGAUGCCAUAAUUCACAGAAAAGUUGAGGAACCGAAUAAAUCUCUGAAACUAAGGGCAACAUAAGAAAGGCAAACUGACAAGUAAUACCUGUUCUCACCUUGCCAACAAGCCACCCAAAGCCAUACUACUGUCCAUGACGUUUCUAACUGCCCCUUCAUCGUGCUGUCCUCUGGAACUCAAUUUUCCCUCUCCCUUUCAGGGUUUAACUUCCAUACGACAAAUACAAUGCAUAAUAAAAAACUAACACUUAGAGAAAGAGAGAUCUGUUCAUCAUAUCAAGAAAUCGAUACCUCAAGUGCAUACAAGGGAGAAUCCACACCUUCUACGGAACAAGCAUGUAAUACUAAAUGUAGUCGAAUCUCAAAUAGCUAUAGUUAAUAUUUCCGGUGCAAGGGACGAGCUGCUGCUGCCUGCAGGGACGAGCUGUACUGCUGCUGCUGCCUGCUGGGACUGGAGAAAGGGAGGGAGGCGCCGGUGGGAGAGGCAGCGGCGCCGGUGCCGGUGGGAGGCGGGGAUGGGAGGUCGGAAAAGACAGAAAGGGAGGGGUGGAGGCGGGUGGAAUGGGAUGGCCGAAUGGAACAG